Small nucleolar RNA from Chrysoperla carnea, 90 nucleotides. RefSeq annotates it as small nucleolar RNA snR60/Z15/Z230/Z193/J17. The record is from RefSeq and is a predicted model, not a curated record. The transcript has a single exon. Lineage: Eukaryota; Metazoa; Arthropoda; Insecta; Neuroptera; Chrysopidae.
AUAUUCUAAAUGAUGACCUUAUAGUUCAGCUGAUGCUGAUAAUGAUGCCUUACUAUUGCAAUGUCUUUCGCUCCUAUCUGAUUUUAACUA